AUGAAUGAUGCAAUGCACUGGGCUUUGGGCUAUUUUCGCUUGCAAAUUGAUGGAAAUACAUUUUCCUAAAAAGCAUUGUCCAACCA
Molecule: small nucleolar RNA, 86 nt
Filed under: Amborella trichopoda
Lineage: Eukaryota; Viridiplantae; Streptophyta; Magnoliopsida; Amborellales; Amborellaceae
Source: RNAcentral